GGAAAAGAAGGAAAAAGCUGUCUUCGCAAGGCGGAGGUCGCGGGUUCAAAUCCAGCCCCGUCCACCA
RNAcentral lists this transfer RNA (67 nucleotides) under Nitrososphaerota archaeon. RNAcentral describes it as "Thaumarchaeota archaeon tRNA-Leu". The record is from RNAcentral. Lineage: Archaea; Thermoproteati; Nitrososphaerota.